ACGUCCUUAGCUCAGUGGAAGAGAGCAUUUGGCUACGAACCAAAAGGUCGGGAGUUCGAUUCUCUCAGGGCGUCCCA
Molecule: transfer RNA, 77 nt
Filed under: Paenibacillus thiaminolyticus
Lineage: Bacteria; Bacillati; Bacillota; Bacilli; Caryophanales; Paenibacillaceae
Description: tRNA-Arg
Rfam family: tRNA
About the family: Transfer RNA (tRNA) molecules are approximately 80 nucleotides in length.
Source: RNAcentral